CGCGGCCCACCCCGAGCCACCAUCCCACGAGCCACCAACCACCCUCCCCACCUUCUCCGGUGAGGCCCGCCCCACCUGAGCCGUCGUCCCACCGUCCCACCUUCUCCGGCGGGAUCCGCCUCCCACCCCUGCCCAGACACCUAACCCGACCGCGCGACCGCCAGAUCCGGUGGGAUCCUUCCUCCCGUGCUUGCCCGGCGACGCGUGCAUCGCAAACAGAGGCGAGGUGCCCCCUCACCCCGCCCCCCGCGCGCCCUCCCCGCGACGGCACGCCCUGGUGGUCGCCAAAUCUGGGCCAGGAGCGCCUACCCCGUCCCGAGAUUCAGCUCCUCUGGCUGCAUGGCGCAGGUCCCCCAUUCCCCGGGCGAGCUCUCGUGCUCCCCUUCCCGCCGGCGAUCUCUACUGCUUCCCACCCCCUCCGACGAGCUCUCCUGCCUCCCCUCCCCUCUAGCAAGCUGGCCUGAAGAUGGUCGAGGCUCCUGAUGCAGUUCGUUUCGUGGAUUGUGUUGUGGAGUGUGUGUGGCGUGCAGCUCGGAGCGAGUGGGCAUGCAGCUCAGAGCCAGCAAGGAUAUUCCCAUGUGUUGGCCGUAGCGUGCGCCCCUUCCUAGCAUGCUGACGGUCAGGCCGCAUUUGCUUGCGAUAGUGGCUCCGGACCAUGGACACAACCGGAUGCAAGACCCUGCAUCCCACAUCGCCACCCUUCGACUUCUUCGUCGCAACAAGGCGUGCUGUGAGAAAGCGUGUGAGAGUGUAGCUUGCCGUUGAGGAUGCAGUCCGUCGUCUCGGCCAGGUGAUGCUCCUUGUUUGUUCCCCACUAACGAACAAGAAAACACACGAGCAUCGAUGUUGUAGUUUACUUUUUUUAUAUUGGGAGGAAAGAUUCAGUGCAGUUCGGCCAACCGGCGUUGUGAAGAACAGCCAACGAUGGCGUGCAGUUUGACAAAAAUAAAUUCACCCGUGGUCGGUGGUGUGGCCACUGCAUUUCGUCGGCGAGCCGCUAGCGGCUGGAGCAGCACGGACGUGCAAUUCGCUUUUUGUUUUUUGGCCGAGGAUGCAGUGCCUUUACUUUUUGCAGUCGUUCACUCGUGUGCCAUGGGGUUCACAUGUAAUUAUUUCUUUGAAAACUCAAAAUUCUCCUUAUUUUGUUUCUAAAAAGGAAGUACAUUUUGCACUAGCAAUCCGCUGAGCUGGAGCUGAAGGUCAAUGGCCGCCCCAUGCAAUCCAUGGCGCUGGCCGUGCUUUCUCCUACUGCUCUGUGUGAGGUGAGGAUGGGUUCUCUGUUGGCAAGGUAAUGCAUUUUUCAGUAUGGUUUGCAGUUCCAUCAGUGUGGUCGUGCGGCACGCGGGCGUGGGUUUGCAAUGUGGUUCUCAUCUACGUGCAGCCCAAGAUGAUGGCCAUAUCCGCUGGGGCUUUUGUAUUCGUGUGUUUAUAUUGUACUCCCAUGGACAUCAUCCCGUAUUUGUGUGAGUAUUUGUUUGCCUAAUGGCCCAUAGCCAGCUCCACCAUAGGGCAUCUAACUCUGUAUGUUCCCAAUGCAGUUCGGCGGGCGAGCAUGUUCUGUGCAGUGCAUUUGGCAUGUUCUUGCAUUUUGUAGUGUUUUCAUUUGGCAGCUCCUUUGCUUUUUGUUGCAGCUCACUCAAUAUUUGUUUGCAGUUCAUUGCGGGACUCCAUGGCGCUGGUCGUGCUGCUCCUUUUCUUGUUGCUAUGUCUGAGGCGAGGACGGGCUCUGCCGCACCGGGAACCAGGGUGUUCGCGACACCGGCGAAGACGGCGUGGUGGUUCCCUUCUUCCCCAACAACAGAAGUUGCGGUGUGGCUAUGCAAUUGUUGAAGUUCAGGAAUAUGUUUGGUGUCUUUUCAGAUUUCGUUUGGGCGCAACACUGCAGUUCGCAUGGGUCUUCACAACGGUGCGGACGGGUGUGCAGUAGGGUGCUUGCAGUGCGAUGGCGCGAUGCUCACGGUCUUGAAUAAAUUUGUUUGAUGCGAUGGUGCGAUGGUGCAAUUUGUUUCAUGUGUUCUAAAAUUUAGUCGACUACGUCAACACCUGCAGUGCGUUUGUUUCGCGGAUGUGGUUCAGUUUUUAGAGUGAUGAUGUUCACUUGCGCCCAACAUGAAAGUGUUAAAAAUUAGUGAAACAAUAAAAUAGUAAUGUGGUUCA
Triticum dicoccoides is the source of this 2157-nucleotide RNA transcript. RefSeq lists it as uncharacterized. The transcript is spliced from 2 exons. Lineage: Eukaryota; Viridiplantae; Streptophyta; Magnoliopsida; Poales; Poaceae. The record is from RefSeq and is a predicted model, not a curated record.